GGGUCAGUAGGUUGGUCGUGCCACCGGUACGUACUGGUCUCACUGAUUCCUCCUUCCUGAAGAACCGUGAUGCCAUUAAUUUGGUGUUGCGGGGAAACAGGACUGUUACUUCGAAAAAAUUAGAGUGUUUAAAGCAAGCUAACGCUUGAAUACAUUAGCAUGGAAUAAUGAAAUAGGACGAUCGAUCCUAUUUUGUUGGUUUCUAGGAUUGACGUA
This 216-nucleotide ribosomal RNA is filed under the name Glomeromycotina sp. RNAcentral's name for it is "partial small subunit ribosomal RNA". The stretch from base 40 to 216 matches the Rfam family "Eukaryotic small subunit ribosomal RNA", at positions 686 to 864 of the family's 1831-position model. The record is from RNAcentral. Lineage: Eukaryota; Fungi; Glomeromycota.